UACGGAGGGUGCGAGCGUUGUCCGGAAUUAUUGGGCGUAAAGAGCUCGUAGGUGGCUUGUCGCGUCUGCCGUGAAAGCCCAUGGCUUAACUAUGGGUCUGCGGUGGAUACGGGCAGGCUAGAGGCUGGUAGGGGCAAGCGGAAUUCCUGGUGUAGCGGUGAAAUGCGCAGAUAUCAGGAGGAACACCGGUGGCGAAGGCGGCUUGCUGGGCCAGUUCUGACGCUGAGGAGCGAAAGCGUGGGGAGCGAACAGG
This 253-nucleotide ribosomal RNA is filed under the name uncultured bacterium. RNAcentral's name for it is "partial 16S ribosomal RNA". It matches the Rfam family "Bacterial small subunit ribosomal RNA", at positions 524 to 776 of the family's 1533-position model. The record is from RNAcentral.